UUGAUUUUAAUUGGAAUUAGCUGUGAUGCAUUGAGUAGAAUUUACUUAUGUUUUAUGAGGAACAACGACGAUGCAGAAAAUCGAUAGAUUUUCAAUAGCAUUUUGUGCAUCAUGGACGCCUAUGACUACACGUUUCAGGGGUUGCAGUCCUCAACUUCCCGAAGCCAUCCUUCCACUGCUGCUUCUGGUUCUCAGCUGAUCAGGAAUUGUCCCAGUCAUGAGGAAUCCAUCUUCACAAACUGCAAGCGACAAAGAAAUUGACCACACCUGUCAAGAGCUGAGAAUAUUUAACAGUUCUCACACUUUACGUUCCAGUCAUCAUCCAACAUCAUGUCCGCGUGAGACUGUAUCCUGUGUUGAGCACCAUCUUCGGUCAAGUCUGGACUCGGUGGCUCAUUAUUCUUGAUCAGCCUUUAUAUAUGGACAUGUGCUGUUUUUCCAUCAUCUCAACAUAGCUUUGUAAGUAUCCUGGACAUUUUAUUGAAUCAACCAAGAAAAGUUUCUUGAAGUUCACCAAUGUAGUCUGUACCUUGGAUUGUAAUGGGUGUUAUUUGUUGUUUCCUUUGUAAUUUACCAUAAACAGUUUUUGGCUGUUAAAUCUAUGCUAACUAAUUGUAAUUCCUUAUGGGUUGUACUGUAUUUUUUGCAAUGAAAUUCUGGCAACCACAGCUGCUGGUAAUUUAAUGUA
This is a long non-coding RNA of Pygocentrus nattereri (red-bellied piranha), 688 nucleotides long. RefSeq lists it as uncharacterized. Lineage: Eukaryota; Metazoa; Chordata; Actinopteri; Characiformes; Serrasalmidae. The transcript has 4 exons. The record is from RefSeq and is a predicted model, not a curated record.